AAGCUAUUAGUUUUCCUACCUGAUUUCUUAUAUGUUACUUUGUGCGAAUCAUAGAAACGUAAAGCCUUGACCUAAUUGUUAAUAGGUCAAUGAGUUUGUGUUCUGUUCAAUCUAUCUGUUAUCUUUUAACUCGAUUUAUUUGUGGUGUAAAGUGUGAUACUUUUAAUGAUAUAUAAAUAUUGUAAUUACAGAACUGUUUUGGAAUUUGUAGUGUCUCUAUAUUUUCAAUUGAACUGUAAAACCACAUCAUAGGUGCCACUUUGAGGUAGAAAUUACAGAUGAAACAGGCACGACGACAGCAACAGUGUCUGAAGGCUUGGGCGAAAGGAUGUUGUCAACGACAGCUGAACAAAUAUACGAUAUCAUCAACAUUAAGAAUGAGUUAUUCCCUGUUGCCCAUAUCAAUCAACUACUUGCAGAUAAACUGUUCAGAAUUCAACUACAAAGGUCAUCAUCCAGAACACCAGACAAAAAUGCAGGUUCUCUGGUCCUUUUAUCAUACACAUAAAAACCAACCAUGUUUCUACCAGAAGAGUCAGCAUCUGUGGGUGAUGCCGAGAGAAUUAUGGAAGAAGAGUCAAUACUUGGGGCUAAUGCAAAAGCAACUAAGAAACGGAAAAGGGAACCAAGUACUCUACUAAAGCCGCAGUCAAGAUUGUCAAGGCAGUGAUGUUCGCUGAAAUGGUAUGCGAUGUACAGAGACAUUUUGACAGAUCAUACCGAUCUUUUAACAAGGUUUAGAUAUUUGGCCGCCUUAACAAAAUGUUUCACAUUUUUUGCCUAAAUAGUUGUCAGUAGUGUAUGCCUAUGUUUUUGAAGUCAAUUGGUAUUAUUUUUUGGAUCUUGGA
Molecule: long non-coding RNA, 848 nt
Organism: Nicotiana attenuata
Lineage: Eukaryota; Viridiplantae; Streptophyta; Magnoliopsida; Solanales; Solanaceae
Exons: 3
Source: RefSeq, a predicted model, not a curated record